RNAcentral lists this ribosomal RNA (506 nucleotides) under uncultured bacterium. RNAcentral describes it as "partial 16S ribosomal RNA". It matches the Rfam family "Bacterial small subunit ribosomal RNA", at positions 28 to 523 of the family's 1533-position model. The record is from RNAcentral.
GAUGAACGCUAGCUACAGGCUUAACACAUGCAAGUCGAGGGGUAACGAGAGGAAAGCUUGCUUUCCUUGUCGACGACCGGCGCACGGGUGAGUAACGCGUAUCCAACCUGCCCCCAACUAGGGAAUAACCUUGCGAAAGUAAGACUAAUACCCUAUAAUUUCCUCAGAUGUCAUCUGACGAGGAAUAAAGAUUUAUCGGUUGUGGAUGGGGAUGCGUCUGAUUAGCUUGUUGGCGGGGUAACGGCCCACCAAGGCAACGAUCAGUAGGGGUUCUGAGAGGAAGGUCCCCCACAUUGGAACUGAGACACGGUCCAAACUCCUACGGGAGGCAGCAGUGAGGAAUAUUGGUCAAUGGGCGGAAGCCUGAACCAGCCAAGUAGCGUGCAGGAUGACGGCCCUAUGGGUUGUAAACUGCUUUUAUACAGGAAUAAAGUUAGCCACGUGUGGUUAUUUGUAGGUACUGUAUGAAUAAGGACCGGCUAAUUCCGUGCCAGCAGCCGCCGCCG